RNAcentral lists this ribosomal RNA (773 nucleotides) under Diphtherophora sp. Ali Abad. RNAcentral describes it as "eukaryotic LSU rRNA". It matches the Rfam family "Eukaryotic large subunit ribosomal RNA", at positions 357 to 950 of the family's 3401-position model. Lineage: Eukaryota; Metazoa; Nematoda; Enoplea; Triplonchida; Diphtherophoridae. The record is from RNAcentral.
GGGAAAGUUGCAAAGAACUUUGAAGAGAGAGUUCAAAAGGGCGUGAAACCGCUUAGAAGUAAACGGGUGGUGCUGCCAUUACGUUUGUCCGGAUUCAGCCCUCUCAACGGUGGAACGUCGAAGUGCUGAUCGCAAGACGGUGCUUUGGCUGAAUGUUCUGUCUAGUAAGGGUGCACUUUCGGCAGACUGCGUCACGACCGGCGACCUGUUCGGCAUAAGGCUGGUUGGUUGAAGACAGUGAGGUCUUGGCCUUGCUGUGACUCGCUAAUCAGUUCAGACCCGGUUUAGGUCGCCGGGAAUUGUCCGCGCCCGCUUCGCUCGGCUUGUGCUGUAUCACAGGCAGUUAUCUGGUACUGUGCUUGCACGGUGCUGGGUUACUUGUUUGUGACUGCUGUGCUUGCUGAGUGGCGCACAUGGUCAGUGGCGUCCGCGUCAGCUUCCCACCCGACCCGUCUUGAAACACGGACCAAGGAGUCUAACAUGUGCGCAAGUCAUUGGGUCGUCAAACCCAAAGGCGCAAUGAAAGUAAAGAUCGGUUCUGCUGAUCUAGGUGAGAUCUCGACUGCUCUGUCGGGCGCAUCACUGUCCCAUCGCAUCGGCUUGCCCGGGCGGUGGAGAAAGAGCGUACAUGUUGGGACCCGAAAGAUGGUGAACUAUGCCUGAGCAGGAUGAAGCCAGAGGAAACUCUGGUGGAGGUCCGUAGCGGUUCUGACGUGCAAAUCGAUCGUCAGACUUGGGUAUAGGGGCGAAAGACUAAUCGAACCAUCUAGUAG